Molecule: ribosomal RNA, 114 nt
Filed under: Amphiprion percula (orange clownfish)
Lineage: Eukaryota; Metazoa; Chordata; Actinopteri; Pomacentridae
Source: RNAcentral
GUUUGUUUCUGAGACUGAUACACCUGAUCUCAUCUGAUCUGCAAAGCUAAGCAGGGUUGGGCCUGGUUAGUAUUUGGAUGGGAGACUACCUGGGAAUACCAGGUGCUGUAAGCU